CAAGUCGAGCGAGAAAAGGGGAGCAAUCCUCUGAGUAAAGCGGCGCACGGGUGAGUAACACGUGGGUAAUCUGCCCUGGAGUGGGGAAUAACACCGGGAAACCGGUGCUAAUACCGCAUACGAUAACGAGAUCUGCGGAUUUUGUUAUGAAAGGAGCAAUUCGCUCUAGGAGGAGCCCGCGGCUGAUUAGCUAGUUGGUGAGGUAAUGGCUCACCAAGGCUACGAUCAGUAUCCGGUCUGAGAGGACGGUCGGACACACUGGAACUGAGACACGGUCCAGACUCCUACGGGAGGCAGCAGUGGGGAAUUUUUGGCAAUGGGGGCAACCCUGACCAAGCAACGCCGCGUGGGUGAUGAAGUAUCUCGGUACGUAAAACCCUUUCGACGGGGAAGAAAACCGCAAGGUUUGACGGUACCCGUAGAAGAAGCCCCGGCUAACUCCGUGCCAGCAGCCGCGGUAAUACGGGGGGGGCAAGCGUUGUUCGGAAUUACUGGGCGUAAAGGGCGCGUAGGCGGUUUGCUAAGUUGGAUGUGAAAACUCUGGGCUUAACCCAGAGCCUGCAUUCAAAACUGACAGGCUAGAGUUCUGGAGGGGAUAGCGGAAUUCCUGGUGUAGCGGUGAAAUGCGUAGAUAUCAGGAGGAACACCGGUGGCGAAGGCGGCUAUCUGGACAGAAACUGACGCUGAGGCGCGAAAGCUAGGGGAGCAAACAGGAUUAGAUACCCUGGUAGUCCUAGCCCUAAACGAUGGAUACUUGCUGUGACUGGGAUUGAAUCCAGUCGUGGCGAAGCUAACGCAUUAAGUAUCCCGCCUGGGGGAGUACGGUCGCAAGGCUGAAACUC
Molecule: ribosomal RNA, 842 nt
Filed under: uncultured Acidobacteriota bacterium
Lineage: Bacteria; Pseudomonadati; Acidobacteriota
Description: bacterial SSU rRNA
Rfam family: Bacterial small subunit ribosomal RNA
Source: RNAcentral